AUACGUAGGGGGCGAGCGUUGUCCGGAUUUACUGGGCGUAAAGGGUGAGUAGGCGGUUAUAUGUGUCAGAUGUAAAAGGCUAUGGCUUAACCCUAGUUAGCAUUUGAAACUGUAUGACUUGGGUGCAGGAGGGGGAAGUGGAAUUCCUAGUGUAGCGGGGAAAUGCGUAGAUAUUAGGAGGAACACCAGUGGCGAAGGCGACUUACUGGACUGUAACUGACGCUGAGUCACGAAAGCGUGGGUAGCAAACAGGAUUAGAUACCCUGGUAGUCCACGCUGUAAACGAUGAGUGCUAGGUGUUGGCCAGCGAUGGUCAGUGCCGCAGUAAACACAUUAAGCACUCCGCCUGGGGAGUACGGUCGCAAGACUGAAACUCAAAGGAAUUGACGGGG
RNAcentral lists this ribosomal RNA (392 nucleotides) under uncultured bacterium. Its description in RNAcentral is "partial 16S ribosomal RNA". It matches the Rfam family "Bacterial small subunit ribosomal RNA", at positions 523 to 918 of the family's 1533-position model. The record is from RNAcentral.